Molecule: ribosomal RNA, 366 nt
Filed under: Heterocapsa rotundata
Lineage: Eukaryota; Dinophyceae; Peridiniales; Heterocapsaceae
Description: partial Eukaryotic small subunit ribosomal RNA
Rfam family: Eukaryotic small subunit ribosomal RNA
Source: RNAcentral
GCCAGAAAUGAUAUGCUUGGUUGAACGAUUAAGCCAUGCACAUGUAAGAGUGUCUCUUCGGGGACGGUCAGUAAAUGGCUCAUUAUACAGAGGCUUAGCAAAGGGGGGGAUGGAUGCUGAAAGGUGUCUGAAGAAGGAUAACCAUUCAAAAUGGAUGGAUAAUACUUGGAGAGCGGGGUGCUGGGUGACUGGUAGCCUGGGAAAGAGUGUUGUCGACGAGAGUUGGCUGGUGAAUCAAGUCUUUUGGAGAAAGCCCGCGGAAAGAUGUGGGCAGUCCCUCGUGCAGCCUUUAUCUAUCAGCUUUAGACGGUAGUGUAGAGGACUACGGUGGCGGUAACGGAUACGGAGAAUUAGGGUUCGAUUCCG